Molecule: ribosomal RNA, 253 nt
Filed under: uncultured bacterium
Lineage: Bacteria
Description: partial 16S ribosomal RNA
Rfam family: Bacterial small subunit ribosomal RNA
Source: RNAcentral
CACGUAGGGCGCGAGCGUUGUUCGGAAUUAUUGGGCGUAAAGGGCGCGUAGGCGGUGUGUCAAGUCAGGCGUGAAAGCCCCGGGCUCAACCUGGGAACCGCGCUUGAGACUGGCACGCUAGAGUUCGGGAGAGGAUGGUGGAAUUCCCAGUGUAGAGGUGAAAUUCGUAGAUAUUGGGAAGAACACCGAUGGCGAAGGCAGCCAUCUGGACCGACACUGACGCUGAGGCGCGAAAGCGUGGGGAGCAAACAGG